RNAcentral lists this ribosomal RNA (1485 nucleotides) under Triticum aestivum (bread wheat). RNAcentral's name for it is "partial small subunit ribosomal RNA". Lineage: Eukaryota; Viridiplantae; Streptophyta; Magnoliopsida; Poales; Poaceae. The record is from RNAcentral.
AUGACAGGAUCUAGAGUCAAUCCAUGGGCUUUAUCGAUCGCGGGAGACGUGCCACCACCUAUGCAAAUUCCACAACGAUCACGAGAGGUGCAUAAACAUCCAAAUGCACAUGAUCAGGUUAAUGUUUCUAUACCAUCAUUUAAUGGCUGUUUUAGACCUGCUUUAUAUAUUGAAUGGGAGUUCGACAUAAAUAUUAUAUUUGCUUCCCAUAAUUUUGAUGAACGUAAAAAAGUUAAGGUUGCGGUUGGUUCUUUCACUGGUUAUGCUUUAGUUUGGUGGAGUGAAUAUUGUCGGUUACACCCUGAUUAUAUACCUAUUACUUGGGAUGAUUUGAAACUUGCCAUGCGACAUACAUUCAUCCCCGCUUAUUAUACUCGUGACAUGAUUAAAAAGUUACAACAUUUAAAACAAGGUAGUGACACUGUAACGAAAUAUUAUGAUGAUUUACAAACUACCUUGUUGCAUUCCUCUUUAGAAGAAAGUGAAGAAGAAUUUAUGGAUAGAUUUUGGGGAGGAUUAAACCGUGACAUUCAGGAGAUACUAAUUCAUGAAACAUGUUAUCCUAUGGACCGUUUGUUUCGUCUUGCUUGCAAAGCUGAACAGGAGAUAACAAGACGUGUUGCCCACAAGAUAAACAAGUGGAAGGUGCAAAUCCCACGAGUUGCGACGGUUGUUCCUUCCACCACUGCGUCUCCUAUGGUAACAACAUCCAUUGUUGAGAGCACUACAUCAGCUCCACCAUGUGACGUGUCGCCACCUAGAGUGCCUACAUCAUCUUUGUUGAUCAUAAGAGGUAAUGACAAAGGUACCGAUCUUCCACCUCCACAUGAGUAUGAUGAAUUCCUUGUCAAUUUAAAUGAACCAUGCGAUGAGCUACCCACUACUUUGAUCACACCAGCUAUUUUAGAGGACUAUGUUCUUGAUUUGACUUUACCAUGUGAUCAAACAAUUUUGAGUGAACCCAUUGAAUUAACUAUUGAUGCAAAAGAACCAUGUGAAUCAGUGAAAAGAUCAGAUUUGGAUCAAAUACAUUUGAAAAUAGUUGUUCCAAUGUUUAAUCAUUUUGAUAUGACCUCUAAUCUUGGUGAUGGUUCAUCAAGGUUGGGAUGGUUUAAUGAUGAGCAUUGCCAGUCUUUUAUUAUGAAUAAGAGCUUCACUUAUAUGUGCAAACUGAGUUGCAAUAUUUUCAUGCCUUUGACUUCUUGUGAUAAUAUAUUGGCUUUAUUUUUCACGACUUUUGAAGGGUGCUCUUGUAUAACUGUGUCACAUGUGCCACAACUGAGAUCAGUUAAAAUGGAUGACAUAUGCAUAUACAACGUGUACACCUUGUCUCUAUUGUUAGCCAUAUUUCAGAUUAAGCAACGCCGAAGACGGCUUUGUUUUCAAGAAGGGGGGAUGAUGAGGACAUGGCUACCACAGUUACACCCAUAUCCCCUGUUGUUUUACCUCUUGGAACAGUUGCUAGAGCUCAGAUACGCCAAUUAA